GUGGAUUAGGCAUGCAAGUCGAACGCGAAAGAGGGGGAAACCCCUCGAGUAGAGUGCCGAACGGGUGAGUAACGCGUGAAGAACCUGCCUUCGACAGGGGGAUAACACUCCCAACGGGGUGCUAAUACCGCAUGAGACCACGGGUCCGCAUGGACCUGAGGUCAAAGGUGGCCUCUGCUUGCAAGCUACCGGUCGAAGAUGGCUUCGCGUCCCAUUAGCUAGUUGGCGGUGUAAUGGACCACCAAGGCGACGAUGGGUAGCUGGUCUGAGAGGAUGGUCAGCCACACUGGGACUGAGAUACGGCCCAGACUCCUACGGGAGGCAGCAGU
Molecule: ribosomal RNA, 329 nt
Filed under: uncultured bacterium
Lineage: Bacteria
Description: bacterial SSU rRNA
Rfam family: Bacterial small subunit ribosomal RNA
Source: RNAcentral